Molecule: long non-coding RNA, 1032 nt
Organism: Hordeum vulgare subsp. vulgare (domesticated barley)
Lineage: Eukaryota; Viridiplantae; Streptophyta; Magnoliopsida; Poales; Poaceae
Exons: 2
Source: RefSeq, a predicted model, not a curated record
CUUGGUUGCGCAACUCUGUGAAUCCUAUCGAUGGGAAUGCAAAGAAGGGAGAAUACUACUGGAAGGAGGUUGCUGAUACAUUCAACAGCACAACUGAGAGUGACCGAAAGCGGGACGUCAAGCACCUCAAGAACCAUUGGUACAAAACAACAAAGAAGGUAACCUCUUUCAACAGCUGCUAUAACCAGAUGAGAGACACCUAUGCGAGUGGCCGGUGUGAUCAACAAUUGAUGCAGCAAGCUCUAGACCUGUACCACAGCCGCAAUGGACACCAGUUCACAUAUGUGCAUUGGUGGGAAGCUGUGAAAGACAGCCAGAAGUGGAAGAUUCAUGUAUACACAGAAGGAGAUGGAACAAAGAGGUCAGCGCCAACACCAACUGAGAAUGCUCAGCGUCCCCCAGGAACAAAGAGGGCGAAGAAAGCUACAGGAAAAGAGAAGGAAGCCCCUACUGAGAUGAAUGACAUGAAAGAACAGAUUGAGGCCUUCCUACAAGCACAAGCUGAUACUAAGGUCCAAACGAAUGAGAUGAUGGAAUUGCAGUCGUUUAUCUGCUCAGAAGGUAGAAGCUAACCAACUUGCAUAUGAGGCAGCAAAGGAGAGGACUGUGGCAAAGUUAGCUGAGGAAAGAACCAAGUUGUUUGAUAAGUUUACACAAAUGUUGAGUGCCGACACUACAACAAUGGAGCCAUGGGCAAAGGAGAUGCAUGUGAGGGCUGUCACGAGAUUGGGGGAUCAACUUUUCAAGGAGGGAUAGAAGAUAUGUGUGCAGCAAAGGGGAGCUUCAUGUGCAAGGAAGCAUAGAAGAUGUGAGACUGUUUUGUUUUGAACGAGAAGGGCCAACGGAUACACCAACAAAUUCAGUUUGAACUUUGAAUAAAUAUGAUAUGCGUGUUUACAAAUCUUCUCUUGUGCUUGGAAACCUUAAGAUUGUUCUAUUACUGUGAGAUUUUUUGUGUCAUGGUCAAGAAAUACUUGUUGUUAUAUUUUGGAUAUAAAAAAUUGCUGGUAAGAAUGUUCUAUUGUUGUGGGA